AGCGAACGUUAGCGGCGGGCCUAACACAUGCAAGUCGAACGCGAAAGGUCUUCGGACUGAGUAGAGUGGCGCACGGGUGAGUAACACGUAGGUAAUCUACCCUUUGGCGGGGAUAACGUUCCGAAAGGAGCGCUAAUACCGCAUAAGACCACGGAGUCUCCGGACGCUGUGGGAAAAGGUGGCCUCUUCUUGAAAGCUACCACCGAAGGAUGAGCCUGCGUCCCAUCAGCUAGUUGGUAAGGUAAUGGCUUACCAAGGCGAAGACGGGUAGCUGGUUUGAGAGAAUGAUCAGCCACACUGGCACUGGAACACGGGCCAGACUCCUACGGGAGGCAGCAGUGAGGAAUAUUGGGCAAUGGGGCGAAAGCCUGACCCAGCCACGCCGCGUGAGUGAUGAAGGCCCUCGGGUCGUAAAGCUCUGUGGAGAGGGACGAAAACCCUGGUUUCAAAUAGGCUCCAGGCUUGACGGUACCUCUUUAGCAAGCACCGGCUAACUCUGUGCCAGCAGCCG
Molecule: ribosomal RNA, 511 nt
Filed under: uncultured bacterium
Lineage: Bacteria
Description: bacterial SSU rRNA
Rfam family: Bacterial small subunit ribosomal RNA
Source: RNAcentral